This 240-nucleotide long non-coding RNA is filed under the name Brassica napus (rape). Its description in RNAcentral is "long non-coding RNA (BNAP_LNC017087)". The record is from RNAcentral. Lineage: Eukaryota; Viridiplantae; Streptophyta; Magnoliopsida; Brassicales; Brassicaceae.
AUAUUAAAAAUAAAAAUAAAUAAAAAUAAAAAAUAAAAUAAAAUAAAAUGAACACCGUUUUGGAGAGGCGACAAAAAAGGCGAUUAGGGAUUUCUCUUAGCCGGACUUACCGCUAGUUACGACUGGUGAGAGUCCGUCAAAGGUGGAAGCGCGGGGCUUUGAUCAGGAAACGAGGCUGGAGAUGGAUCUGACUGAGCUAACUCAGAAGUUGACGAAUGAUUUGGGGCUGAAAAGUUCUGA